AACGAACGCUGGCGGCAGGCUUAACACAUGCAAGUCGAACGAGAUCUUCGGAUCUAGUGGCAGACGGGUGAGGAACACGUGGGAACAUCCCUUUCAGUUCGGAAUAACGUUGGGAAACUAACGCUAAUACCGGAUACGUCCUUCGGGAGAAAGAUUUAUCGCUGAAAGAUUGGCCCGCGUCUGAUUAGCUAGUUGGUGGGGUAAAGGCCUACCAAGGCGACGAUCUUUAGCUGGUCUGAGAGGAUGAUCAGCCACACUGGGACUGAGACACGGCCCAGACUCCUACGGGAGGCAGCAGUGGGGAAUAUUGGACAAUGGGCGAAAGCCUGAUCCAGCAAUGCCGCGUGAGUGAUGAAGGCCUUAGGGUUGUAAAGCUCUUUUACCAGGGAUGAUAAUGACAGUACCUGGAGAAUAAGCUCCGGCUAACUCCGUGCCAGCAGCCGCGGUAA
This 449-nucleotide ribosomal RNA is filed under the name uncultured bacterium. Its description in RNAcentral is "partial 16S ribosomal RNA". It matches the Rfam family "Bacterial small subunit ribosomal RNA", at positions 29 to 523 of the family's 1533-position model. The record is from RNAcentral.